AAAAUUUCAAAACAAUUAAAACUUUUCAAAAACCACCCAUUUUAACAACGUUGUUACAAAAAGGUUUUCAAUACAUUAUUUAACAGCGUAUUUUCCCAGGUUCAUAUCAUAAAACGCCAACGCGAGGAACAGUACGAUCACGCCUUUGCCUUGCCACAGACUCCUGAGAACCUGAAAACAUAAAACCACAACUGUAAGCCCGAAAGCUUAGUGAGAUACCCCCAAAAUACCAACCACAUAUACGCCCCUCCAGGCCACGAUCUUUCGGUCCAAUUCAUAUUGCCUUCCGGCCCAUAACACAUCGCCUUCCGGCCCAUAACAUAUUGCCUUCCGGCCCAUAACAUAUUGCCUUCCGGCCCAUAGCAUAAAAUGCAUACAUAACAUAACAGAUCAUAGAACAGCCAUACAUAUCGGGUCAAACCCCAGACCAAGCAAACUUGCACAUAACACAUAACCAUAUAACAGAUCACAGUCAGCAAAUCGAUCAACAGAUCACAUAACAUAACAUUACUCUAACCAAGAUACCGGCCUAACCGGUCACUAGCAUAACAUCACCCUACGAAUCAGUCAACAUACUAUUUACACACAUACGCCUUUCCAGGCCAUGACCUUCCGGUCCACAUCGCAAUGCCUUCCGGCCCACAACAUGUAAUGCCUUCCGGCCCACAACAUAUAAUGCCUUCCGGCCCAUAACGUAAUGCCUUCCGGCCCAUAUUCCGCAAUAUCAUAACAACAAACACUACCCGGAUUUCCAUCCAAUAAAGGGUCGGCCUUGGUGCCUUAAACCCUAUUGAUAUAGUGAGGAUAACUCACCUCGAAUCUGCCGACUGAACGGACAACCCAAGCUGCUCCGAUCACUGAUACGAUCUCCACCUCUGGACAACCACCAAUGCACU
Molecule: long non-coding RNA, 896 nt
Filed under: Lactuca sativa (garden lettuce)
Lineage: Eukaryota; Viridiplantae; Streptophyta; Magnoliopsida; Asterales; Asteraceae
Description: long non-coding RNA (LSAT_LNC008794)
Source: RNAcentral